This 276-nucleotide ribosomal RNA is filed under the name uncultured Methanosaeta sp. RNAcentral describes it as "partial 16S ribosomal RNA". It matches the Rfam family "Archaeal small subunit ribosomal RNA", at positions 187 to 465 of the family's 1478-position model. The record is from RNAcentral. Lineage: Archaea; Methanobacteriati; Methanobacteriota; Methanomicrobia; Methanotrichales; Methanotrichaceae.
UAAAGCUCCGGCGCCUGAGGAUGGGUCUGCGGCCUAUCAGGUAGUAGUGGGUGUAGCGUACCUACUAGCCUACGACGGGUAAGGGUUGUGAGAGCAAGAGCCCGGAGAUGGAUUCUGAGACACGAAUCCAGGCCCUACGGGGUGCAGCAGGCGCGAAAACUUUACAAUGCUGGCAACAGCGAUAAGGGAACCUCGAGUGCCAGGUUACAAAUCUGGCUGUCGAGAUGCCUAAAAAGCAUUUCAUAGCAAGGGCCGGGCAAGACCGGUGCCAGACGA